CCAGACUCCUACGGGAGGCAGCAGUGGGGAAUAUUGGGCAAUGGGCGCAAGCCUGACCCAGCAACGCCGCGUGAAGGAAGAAGGCUUUCGGGUUGUAAACUUCUUUUGUCAGGGACGAAGCGAGUGACGGUACCUGACGAAUAAGCCACGGCUAACUACGUGCCAGCAGCCGCGGUAAUACGUAGGUGGCAAGCGUUGUCCGGAUUUACUGGGUGUAAAGGGCGUGUAGCCGGGAAGGCAAGUCAGAUGUGAAAUCCGGAGGCUCAACCUCCGAAUUGCAUUUGAAACUGUUUUUCUUGAGUACUGGAGAGGCAGACGGAAUUCCUUGUGUAGCGGUGAAAUGCGUAGAUAUAAGGAGGAACACCAGUGGCGAAGGCGGCCUGCUGGGCUUUAACUGACGCUGAGGCUCGAAAGCGUGGGGAGCAAACAGGAUUAGAUACCCGAGUA
This 447-nucleotide ribosomal RNA is filed under the name uncultured bacterium. RNAcentral's name for it is "bacterial SSU rRNA". It matches the Rfam family "Bacterial small subunit ribosomal RNA", at positions 331 to 792 of the family's 1533-position model. The record is from RNAcentral.